GAUGAACGCUGGCGGCGUGCCUAAUACAUGCAAGUCGAGCGAACAGACGAGGAGCUUGCUCCUCUGACGUUAGCGGCGGACGGGUGAGUAACACGUGGAUAACCUACCUAUAAGACUGGGAUAACUUCGGGAAACCGGAGCUAAUACCGGAUAAUAUAUUGAACCGCAUGGUUCAAUAGUGAAAGACGGUUUUGCUGUCACUUAUAGAUGGAUCCGCGCCGCAUUAGCUAGUUGGUAAGGUAACGGCUUACCAAGGCAACGAUGCGUAGCCGACCUGAGAGGGUGAUCGGCCACACUGGAACUGAGACACGGUCCAGACUCCUACGGGAGGCAGCAGUAGGGAAUCUUCCGCAAUGGGCGAAAGCCUGACGGAGCAACGCCGCGUGAGUGAUGAAGGUCUUCGGAUCGUAAAACUCUGUUAUUAGGGAAGAACAAAUGUGUAAGUAAAUAUGCACGUCUUGACGGUACCUAAUCAGAAAGCCACGGCUAACUACGU
Molecule: ribosomal RNA, 496 nt
Filed under: uncultured bacterium
Lineage: Bacteria
Description: partial 16S ribosomal RNA
Rfam family: Bacterial small subunit ribosomal RNA
Source: RNAcentral